UUUGUUUCACCGAAAGUAAAGCACUAAUAAAAGGCUUCGUUUAGUAUAGGGUUUACAUAACCGACCGUCCAUAGAGCAAGUGGCAAAAGGUUUGGUAGUUGGUACCCGAGACCCAAGUUCGAAUCCAAGUUGAUUCACAUUUUCAGCUAAGUUUAUUUCUAAAUGAAAUAAACGAAGCGCGUAGCGUGCUAUCUAUUUCUUAAAAAAAAAAAAAAAGUAUAGGGCUUACAUAAAAACUGCUCAUUUUAGUGAUAGGUACAAGUUUCGAUAUAAGUAGAACUAAAGUAAAUUUUUAUUUAGAUAAAAAUUAAAUUAUUUCUGAGAAUAAGAUAAAUAGUAUUUGAAUGAUUAGAUUGAAAUGAUAAAAUUUUUUUAAAUUAAUGAUGUUUUAUCUAAUUAAUAAAUAUCAAAAUUAAGGAGGGGAAUAAGAACUUAUUCCCCUCCUUAUACUCGAACCAAAUGCUACUUAAGUAAAUUUUUAGAUGAGUAAGAGUUUAAGUAAACAAUAUUUUUCUUUUGCUGUAUUUUGUAUAGCUGUGAAACUAAUUUUUUAUAGUUCUGUUGUUUAUUUGAUACAAAGUUGGUUUAAUAUUUAUUUUUUUUUUGUUGACUUCUUCAUUGGGUGGCCGAAAUCAAUUACAGUACUUUGGAUUAUUUGAAUUUCGAUUAAAAGUGGAGCUUAGAAGCACUUUCAAAUUUAUUUAUUUUUUAGUAUAUUAAAACAACUAGCUAGCUAGACUUAAAUAACCCUAAACAGUUUUAUUCUACAGCAAAACCAGAAACACUAAGUUGGAUUCUAUAGUUAAUGCUUAGAAUUUAAUUUUUUACUUUGCGUUUUUGCCAAAAGCUCUGCAUUUAUUUAUUUUUAUUUUUUCAUCGUCAAACACCAUUCUAAAAUUACUAUUGCUAAAAGCUAAAGCAAAAUGUGGGGUCAAACAGUCUCUUAUCCCUGAAUGACAUGUGCUGCAUAUAAAAAUAUUAAAAAUAUUAUUUUCUAACGGUUUAAACUUUUAAAGGCAAUUGAUUAUUUUACAUAACAUCAGAGUAUAUGAGGUCUUGAGUUCAACUUUCACUAAGUUUAGAGUUUUAUAAAAUUUUUAUAAAAUUUCCUCCCAUAAAACCCCAAUGUGAGAGUAAUGAAUGUAAAAAAUUAAAAAUAUCAUUCUCUCGCAAAUUCACAGCAAAAGAUUGAAAAUGAGAGAUUACAAUGAUUGGAUAAAAAUUAUGAGACUGAAUGAAGAGAGAUAGCAGGUUGUGAGACUGUACGAAGGGAGAUGGAUGGAGAUUAUGAAAUUGAAUGAAGGAUGAUUAGUGAUUGUGAGACUGGAUGAAGGGAGAUGGAUGGGGAUUAUGAAAUUGGAUGACAAAAGAUCAUUGAUUAUGAGAUUGGACGAAGGGAGAUGGAUGAAGAUUAUGAAAUUGGAUGAAGAAAAAUCGGUGAUUAUGAGACUGGAUGAAGAGAGAUGGAUGGAGAUUAUGAAAUUGGAUGAAGAUUAGUAAUUAUGAGACUGGAUGAAGGAAAAUGGAUGGGUAUCAUGAAAUUGAAUGAAGGAAGAUCGGCGAUUAUGAGAAUGGAUGAAGGGAGAUAGAUGGAGAUUACGAAAUUGGAUAAAGGAAGAUCGGUUACGAGAAUGGAUGAAGGGAGAUGGAUGGAGAUUAUGAAAUUGGAUGAAGGCAGAUCAGUGAUUAUGAGACUGAAUAAAAAAAAAUAGAUGGAAAUUAUAAGACUAGAUAAAGAGCGAUAGGCGGGUUAUAAGAUUAUAUCAAGAACACUCAAAGUUUCACACAACUAGAUUGGAUAGUGCAUUGGCCAAUUGAUGUGGUGCACUAGGUGUAACCAUGUGGAAAUGAUUAGAUAAUAAAGAAGCUUAUAGAAAUAUGCUUGUUUUUUUUUUUUUUUUUUUGUAAAAUUGCAGAAAAUUAUAUAACUAAUUUACUGUAAUAUGCACUGUUAGUUUAAAUGGGCCAGCAUCCUACCCUGUGGUAGGGGGCCCUGUUGAGCCGAGUCAUGUUCGAAAUGACGUGAGUCUGGAUGGGCGAAGUCAUGUUUAAAGUGGCGUGAGGCUGGUUGGACGAGACCUGUGAGCGCUGUAUCUGUACGCUUUAAGUAAAUUAGUUGCGUAUUUUUAACAGCUCGAGCUUUUGGGAUUAAUGGUUAGCGCCAACGAUCCGACAAGUGGUAUCAGAGCCAGUGGUCACGGGUUCGAUUCCCGCAUGCUGCAAAUGUAUCCAGGUGCUAGAGGGAGGAUUGUUGGCUUAAAUGGGCCAGCAUCCUGCCAUGUUGGGCGGAGUCAUAUUCAAAAUAGCGUGAGCCUGGGUGGGUCGAGUUAUGUUCGAAGUGGCGUGAGGCUGGUUGGGCCAAGUCAUAAUCGAGACCCGUGUGCGCUGUAUCUGUAUACUUUAAGUAAGUUGGUUGCGUAUUUCUAAGUCAUACUUUAAUUCUUACCGCAUACAAUCCAACUCCUCGUAAUUCCAAACGAAGCCAAAGUUUAGACGACGAUUAUGAGACUGGAUGAAGGGAGAUGGGAUAGUUCCGUGCAGAAUAGCUAUCCCGUGCAGAAUAGCUACACAGAAUUUUUUAGAGUUUUCUGUAACGACCCAGCCCACUAGCAACAAUAACUCGUUGGGCCCAAUCAACAGCCCAAAAUGCCCAAUGACAACCCCUUUUCCAUCCGAUGUGGGACUAUUGGGGUGUCACAGACUCCCCCUGUUAAGGCCCUGACUGACAACCCCUUUUCCAUCCGAUGUGGGACUAUUGGGGUGUCACAGACUCCCCCUGUUAAGGCCCUGACGUCCUUGUCAGUCCAAUCACACACACAACCCAAGAUCACCAGGCGAUGUGAGACUCGUCUCGCUAGCCCGUCAUCCAGACCCUGACUCAGCCGAGACUCGCCACACAUGUCCAGCUGGUGAACCGGCUCUGAUACCAAAUGUAACGACCCAGCCCACUAGCAACAAUAACUCGUUAGGCCCAGUCAACAGCCCAAAAUGCUUAAGCCCAAUUAUUAUUACUAGUGUCUAAGUCUCUUAUAAACCCAAUGACAACCCCUUUUCCAUCCGAUGUGGGACUAUUGGGGUGUCACAUUUUCUGAUUCUUUAAAAAUCACAUAACAAUUUAAAACCCUAGCUCUUUAAUUUUUUUUUUUUCCGGUAGCAUUUUAUUGGCACAUAUAUAAAUAUGGAAAACCGGAGCAGCAACGACGAGGAAAUAAAGAGAGAAAAUCCCGAGGGAAUUGGUAUAUUCAAAACCUGAUUUGGGGUUCAAAGAGUUGCUCCCAUGUGUGUGUGUGUGUGUGUGUGUGUGUGUGUGUGUGUGUGUGUGUGUGUGUAUAAUAUCGUUAUGUGACUAAAUUCCCUUGAACUUGGAUUCCUUUUCUUUGCACUUGCACAAUUUUCUUGUUUACGCGUCAAACUAUGAGCAAAUACUUAAUCAAAACCCAUAAGUUCAAAUAUACUGAUCGUAUCUAACAGAUUGCAAAAUGCACAAUGUAAUAUUUUGCAUGAAAACGAAUAAAAUAUUUUUCUAUCAUACUUUUACAUUAGAUGUAAUGUAAUCUACUCCUCGUAGUCUCAAACAAAAUCGAAGUCAAUAACAAUGAAUCCCUAACAUGGAGGCAGGGAUUAAUUACUAUUUCCCCAAUCAAAAUAUCAAAGCUUUGAACUUAUCCAUGCUCCUCCUUUUUCGUGUCAACAGGGUUAUUAAUUUCUAAAGCUAGGAAUUAAGGUUUCUUUUCUAAAGCUAGGAAUUAAGGUUUCUUUUCACAGGAAUUAAGUUGAAAUCAAAUUCCUCAGAACCACAAAAGAAAAUUUUUAUAGCAGGCCCUAUUUUGAUGUUUGAGUAACAAUGUUAAAAUUUUCUUGUGUGACUCCUCGAAAGCUUUCGAUAUCUAUGAUUUGAUAGGAUCAUAUAUUUUACCAACCUACGAGAUAAUUUAUCUUAUUCCGAAAAAAUGACUUGAAAAUUGAAUAUGAUAUUCCAUACAUUCUAGACAGUUCAGCACAUUCCUCACUUAUCAAAUAUAUAAACUUUCUGAGCAAAUUUUUAGAGAGAUAUGUCUAAUAAGAUACUUAAUAUAUAUCCAAACAAAGCACCAGCGAUCCACAAAAAAAUAUUUGUAAUUAUCUUGAUUUAACUUUUUGUCUAAAUUGAUAUGAGUGUUAAUUAGCUAAAAUGACCUACUCGCUUAGUUAUUAAUCAUGCAUUAAUGGUUAUUCAAGUAUGUGAUUUUGUCAGCUGAAAAAGUAUUUACGAAUAAUUAAAUUAGUGUAAUUACUAUUAAUAUUACUAAACAAAAUCCUUAACCUCUAUUAGUAAAAACAAUUUAAAUAAAACAAGUUAAAAAUUGAAGGAGUGUUAAUAAACAAAAAAGUGAAGUUCAGGGGUUUAUUUCAAAAUGGCAUAUAGAAUUGAGGGGGUCAAGUUCAUUUUAUCCUUCUUAUUUGCCCCCAAAAAAAUCUCCAAAUCAUUGGCUAUAUAUAUAUAUAUAUCUUAGAUACAUAGCUCCUAGCAUAAAUUAGGCACAUUCUGGGAAAAAGGUAUCUCCAAGUAUACAAUUUGCACAAAUUAGGUAAGUUCAAAAAGUAAACUAUUUAAGUAAAAAAUUACUCAUUAAAUUGCAAAUCAUCACAAGUUCAAGUGAUUAUUUUACUGCAAGUUAGAAGAAGGGAUUUGGGGAGGAAAAAACUAAAUUUUUUUUAUAAAUAAUAGUAAAAAAGCAACUAGGUGGUUAAUUAGUCAAAGGAAUAGAAUCAAUAGGAACAACCACAUCAACAUCAUCACCAUCACCAUCAUCUACCCCAAUCCUUAUCUUGUAUAAUAUGUAUGCAUAGAGAGAGAGAGAGAGAGUUCAGCGUGAAUGCUUGUAAUGAUAUAAAAUAUUUAGUGCUAUCAAAUUUUUUACUGUUAAAUUUAUCUUUUUAAUUAUUUUCAUUCGUUAAAUUAUACUAUUCAACUAACUACCCACUUAAAUUUUGGGGCUACUAUCAUUCAAACUGCACAUCUUUUCAUCCAAAAACCGAAAAUCUAAUAGCGCUAAUAACUUAAUUAGUGCUAUUAGAAGCAUUCCAAUCUAAUUACUUAUAUAUAUAUAUAUAUAUAUAUAUAUAUAUAUAUAUAUAUUUAUAUAUAUACAUUAUCUAAGAUCUUUUUGUAUCUAAUUAGUCCAUAGUACGCUAUUAUUUAAUGCAUGCAUAUGGACUCCUCACCACUUCCAUGAAAAAGAAGGAAAUUAUAUAAUCUUUUGCUUGUGGAUUGUAAAUUGCACCAAUUUGAUUAGUCAAAGAGAGAGAGGGGGGCAAGAGAGUGGAAUAAAUGAAUGGAUCAUGGAUGAUGCUUGUAGGGCUCAAAAUAGAGAAAAUUUUGCCUACACCAGAAGUAUUUGUAUGUGUCAUAUAUAUGGAGAGAAAUCUAAUAGGAGUAUCUGUAUAUGUCAUAUAUAUGUAGAGAAAUCUAAUACGAUAGAUAUAAUCAUUAGCAUAUAAAAUUCAUAUAUAUAUAUAUAGAACUAAGUUAUAAGUUUUAAAAAAUUUAUUACCUAAACAUCGAAUAGUCUUAAGAUCUAACAUGUAGAAAGGGCAAUUAAUCAAUUGUAAAAAAUCCAAUAUCCAAAAUUUAUAAUUUUUUAUGUAGUCUUUUAAAUAUAAUAAUAUCCAUGUAACAUGGAAUUUUAGGACACUAGUAUAUAAAAUGUUGUUCGAAAAUUCAACAGUAUAGAACAUACCGAUUUUCAAUUUAUAAUAAUAAUAAACUCAUACUAAAAAUUUAUAAUUUUUGACAUAUAGACAUUUUGCAUGCCUUAGAAUAUAUGUGAUCGAUGAAAUGAAUUCUGAUUUAAUUAAUUCUUUGGAAUAGAAUUUUAGAGAUACAAUGUAUAUAUGUGAUGUAGUUAUACACCUGGUGUAGGCAAUAGUUUCUCCUUAUAAUUAUAUGUACUCCAGUGGAUGAGGGAAGGAUAAGAUAAGGGUAUUAUUAUUAUUAUUAUUAUUAUCAUCAUCAUCUUUAUCAUUAUUUUUAUUGUUUUUUAGGCUUGUCCAGAUAUUGUCCUUUGCAUGUGGUCUCCACAUGGGGAGGAAGAGGGUGUAAAGUGGAAUCUUGCACAGGAUAUUCUUUAGUAUGUUGUUGUGCCUACCACAUUUAUAUUUCUUUCUAGGUUUCUAAUAGUUGUCAUUUUCCUACAUAGCAGAAGCCAUAGAUAUUUUCUCACUCUAGUACAUGUCUAGAGAGAGAGUCCGACUAAAGUACUUCUAAUAGCACUAAGCAUUUCAUGCUACAAAGUUUUUCACAUCCAGAUUUAUUCUUUUGACUAUUUUUAUCCGUUAGAUCAUACUAUUCAAUCAACUACCCACUUUAUUCUAGGGGACCAUUAUUAUUCUCUAAUCGCACAUCCUUUUAUCCAAAGGUCAAAAAUAUUCUAAUAGCACCAACGACUCCGAUGUGCUAUUAGAAGCAUUCCAGCCUGCUUUUCUAUAUAUAUAUAUAUAGAAUUAUGCUACUAUACUAUCAAUAGUACCAAGCCCUUUGUACUAUUGAGUUUUCGGCCGUUGGAUGAAAGAAUGUGCGGUUAGGAUGAUAGUGAUCCCCUAGGGUUGAGUGGGUGGUUGGUUUAAUAGUUUAAUCUAACGGGUGAAAAUGGUCAAAAGGUAGAUCUAACGGUAGAAAACUCAAUAGUACCAAGGGCUUAGUAUUAUCGAUAGUAUAGUAGCCGGACUCAUAUAUAUAUAUAUUUUUAUCUAAGGGCCGAAAACCUAAUAGUACCAACAACUUGGUGCUAUUAAUAGCAUUCCAGCCUAGUUCUAUAUAUAUAUAGUUUGGAUUAUAUAUACAUAAUUAAGACUACAGUGGUAUUUUAGAAAGCAUAUCAGCUCAGUUCUAUAUAUAUGUGUAUAAAAGAAUUAUUGGCUACACCGAAUAAUUUCUCCUCACUUAGCAUUUUUUUUAAUUAUAUACUUUGAAACCUACUGUGUGUAGACAUCCGAUGAGCGCAAACUGAGAAUUUUAAUGAAGGUGCAGUGUAUGAGAGAACUAAUACAUCCAAUGUAGACAAUAAUAAAGAGAGAGAGAGAUCUAGAGAGAGAGAGAGGGGGGAUCUUUGUAGUCAAAAUAUGAUCCAUGCUCAGUGCAUGAUAAUCUUGUAAUUAAGAUGAUUUAUCCUCUGGGGGAGCAAGAUGAAGUGGCCAAUAUUGAUUCCACGCAGCAUGCAUAAUUUGACCAGUGCCUUAUAAUGGAGGCAAAGUAUGGGAAGAAAACACAUGCAUUAUAGUGACAGGAAAGAAAAAAAAAAAAAAAAGCAAAGGCUGAGAAUGCUUAGCGUUUUCUUUGUUUUUAUCAUUAUUAGUUGUCUACGAAUGUGUGCAUAAGAUGUUUCUAGAUGACCAGAUUCUUUGACUGUAUUCCGUUUGAUUGGGUUUGUUUUUUUUUUGAACAUUUUUUUUUGUAUCAGAAGUAGAAGAUAAUUAUUUAGCGAAAAAUUUUAGUUGGAAUAGAAAGUUCAGCUUUUACUGCUGGUGCGUGUUGAACUCACAAUGCAAGAAAAUUUCACCAAUAGAAUUGUGAGAGUUUUCUCAACUAGCUCUAGUAAACUAGUCGUUCUAUCAAGUAGGGCCGGCAAGAGCGAAAGCCAGCUUGUGUUCGGCUCGAAAUGAGUUCGAAAUCGGCCACUCAUUUAACAAAAACGAGUUGAACAUGAGCUAAAUUUUCAGCUCAAGAUCUUAAUAAGCCAAAUACAAGCUAGGGUAAGCUCGCUCGUGUUCAGCUCGAUAUAGUUUGAAUAUUUAUAUAUUUAUUUCAUCCAGCAAUAGGGCUGACAAUCUAAAUUAUUAUUUGCCAGCUAGCUCUUGUGUUUGGCUCGUUAAGAAACAAGCUGAACACGAGUUGAAUUUUUCAGCUCGAUAUUUUAACGAUUCGGCUCGUGUUCGACUGAUUGACAACAGCCUAGUUCUAUAAAAAAUCGCAUACUAUGUACAAUCAUUUAACCAUUAAAAGCCCAAAUAAGGAUUUCUUUUUCAGCCCAAUUAUUUAAAUUGAAAUAAUGGAACAAAGCGUUAAAAUGCCUCAUAGAUGUUUCCGUACUAUACAAAAUUUAGAUUGUGGUUGAUUGAACUCUGUAAUGCGAUCGAAUCACUGAAUUAAUUCGUAUAUUGUAUGUGAGAAGCCCCAUCGCAAUUUAUCGUUACACUACAAUAGAAUUAGAUUAUAAAAAUACAUUUUUGAGAUACUUUUGUGUAAAUGUCUCAUUUAUGUCAAAUUUUUUUUUAAAAAUAUAUUAAGACUUAAAUAUAAAGUCCAAUCUAAUAAAAAAUAAAAAGUUCUUCUACUCAACCAACCCCACCUAGUCUACUUGGCCCGAUUACAAAUAGAAAAGAAAAAAAAAAAGAAAAAUUGAUUACCAUCUUCCCUUCUCCUCCUUUGUCGUUGCAGCCGACGAGAUAGGAUUCCAGCGGCUGGAGUUUGGCCACGAGGAUCUCGCAGGGACUGUAGAGGGUUACAAUCGCCACGUGUCUCUCCGCCACAGAUCGCUGGAGAAAUAGAUGCCAAACAUCAAAGCGGCCCCACAUAUAGCGACCUUAUAUAUAGUAACACUUUUAAAAGUGUUAGUAAUUUAGCCAGCAGUAUUUUUUUUUGACAUAUACCGAUAUUUAAAAUUGUCGCUAUACACUGUUUUUAUUGUAGUUCACCACUAUAUAUUGUGACAAUAUUUUC
RNAcentral lists this long non-coding RNA (8698 nucleotides) under Ananas comosus (pineapple). RNAcentral describes it as "long non-coding RNA (ACOM_LNC009786)". Lineage: Eukaryota; Viridiplantae; Streptophyta; Magnoliopsida; Poales; Bromeliaceae. The record is from RNAcentral.